CUGCUCAGAUUGAACGCUGGCGGCAGGCCUAACACAUGCAAGUCGAGCGGCAGCACGGGUACUUGUACCUGGUGGCGAGCGGCGGACGGGUGAGUAAUGCCUAGGAAUCUGCCUGGUAGUGGGGGAUAACGCUCGGAAACGGACGCUAAUACCGCAUACGUCCUACGGGAGAAAGCAGGGGACCUUCGGGCCUUGCGCUAUCAGAUGAGCCUAGGUCGGAUUAGCUAGUUGGUGAGGUAAUGGCUCACCAAGGCGACGAUCCGUAACUGGUNUGAGAGGAUGAUCAGUCACACUGGAACUGAGACACGGUCCAGACUCCUACGGGAGGCAGCAGUGGGGAAUAUUGGACAAUGGGCGAAAGCCUGAUCCAGCCAUGCCGCGUGUGUGAAGAAGGUCUUCGGAUUGUAAAGCACUUUAAGUUGGGAGGAAGGGCAUUAACCUAAUACGUUAGUGUUUUGACGUUACCGACAGAAUAAGCACCGGCUAACUCUGUGCCAGCAGCCGCGGUAAUACAGAGGGUGCAAGCGUUAAUCGGAAUUACUGGGCGUAAAGCGCGCGUAGGUGGUUCGUUAAGUUGGAUGUGAAAUCCCCGGGCUCAACCUGGGAACUGCAUUCAAAACUGUCGAGCUAGAGUAUGGUAGAGGGUGGUGGAAUUUCCUGUGUAGCGGUGAAAUGCGUAGAUAUAGGAAGGAACACCAGUGGCGAAGGCGACCACCUGGACUGAUACUGACACUGAGGUGCGAAAGCGUGGGGAGCAAACAGGAUUAGAUACCCUGGUAGUCCACGCCGUAAACGAUGUNAAGNUAGCCGUUGGGAGCCUUGAGCUCUUAGUGGCGCAGCUAACGCAUUAAGUGACC
Molecule: ribosomal RNA, 857 nt
Filed under: Pseudomonas sp.
Lineage: Bacteria; Pseudomonadati; Pseudomonadota; Gammaproteobacteria; Pseudomonadales; Pseudomonadaceae
Description: bacterial SSU rRNA
Rfam family: Bacterial small subunit ribosomal RNA
Source: RNAcentral